CAGUCGUACUCGCAGAUAAUCAACCUUUAGAUGCGAUUUUGUGGAGCGUCAAGAGUUAAACGCCUUCAUGCCUGCAUACUCGUAUACUUUGGGUGUACUUAUUCGUGUGGUAAGUUAACAUCAAUUUUGGUGAUCAUAAAAUGACUGGAGGAAUGUAGCUUCGAUCUCGUAUUGAAGUGUUAUAGCCUUUGGUAGAUGUGAUGUUUGAGACCGAGGAUUGCAACGGAUACCCUUCAGGGCUAUUCGUCUGAUCUCUGAUACGUUGCCUUGAUGUUAGAAGUCUUGCUUAUGAUGGUUAGGUAUUACGGU
RNAcentral lists this ribosomal RNA (309 nucleotides) under Glomus sp. (unid). The record is from RNAcentral. Lineage: Eukaryota; Fungi; Glomeromycota; Glomeromycetes; Glomerales; Glomeraceae.